Molecule: ribosomal RNA, 479 nt
Filed under: uncultured bacterium
Lineage: Bacteria
Description: partial 16S ribosomal RNA
Rfam family: Bacterial small subunit ribosomal RNA
Source: RNAcentral
GAUGAACGCUAGCGGGAGGCCUAACACAUGCAAGCCGAGCGGUAGAGUUUCUUCGGAAACUUGAGAGCGGCGCACGGGUGCGUAACACGUGUGCAACCUACCUUUAUCUGGGGGAUAGCCUUUCGAAAGGAAGAUUAAUACCCCAUAAUAUAAUGAUUGGCAUCAAUUAUUAUUGAAAACUCCGGUGGAUAGAGAUGGGCACGCGCAAGAUUAGAUAGUUGGUGAGGUAACGGCUCACCAAGUCAAUGAUCUUUAGGGGUCUUGAGAGGGAGAUCCCCCACACUGGUACUGAGACACGGACCAGACUCCUACGGGAGGCAGCAGUGAGGAAUAUUGGACAAUGGGUGAGAGCCUGAUCCAGCCAUCCCGCGUGAAGGAUGACGGUCCUAUGGAUUGUAAACUUCUUUUGUACAGGGAUAAACCUACCCUCGUGAGGGUAGCUGAAGGUACUGUACGAAUAAGCACCGGCUAACUCCGUG